This 65-nucleotide transfer RNA is filed under the name Proechimys brevicauda. Its description in RNAcentral is "tRNA-Lys". It matches the Rfam family "tRNA". Rfam says of the family: Transfer RNA (tRNA) molecules are approximately 80 nucleotides in length. Their secondary structure includes four short double-helical elements and three loops (D, anti-codon, and T loops). Lineage: Eukaryota; Metazoa; Chordata; Mammalia; Rodentia; Echimyidae. The record is from RNAcentral.
CACUAUGAAGCUAAAUAGCAUUAACCUUUUAAGUUAAAGAUUGAGAAGUUAAUCCUCCAUAGUGA